AUACUUGGAAGUCUGAGCACGGGAGACAGAGCACCGGGUGCUAACGUCCGGACUCAAAAGGGAAACAACCCAGACCGCCGGCUAAGGUCCCUAAUAUUGACUAAGUGGAAAACGAAGUGGGAAGGCUAAGACAGUCAGGAAGUUGGCUUAGAAGCAGCCAUCCUUCAAAGAAAGCGUAAUAGCUCACUGAUCGAGUCUUCCUGCGCGGAAGAUGUAACGGGGCUAAGUCAAUAACCGAAGCCGCGGAUUCGCAGCAAUGCGAGUGGUAGGGGAGCGUUCUGUAAGCCUGCGAAGGCGGAUCUGCGAGGACCGCUGGAGGUAUCAGAAGUGCGAAUGCUGACAUGAGUAACGUUAAAGCGGGUGAAAAGCCCGCUCGCCGCAAGCCCAAGGUUUCCUGCUCUACGUUCAUCGGAGCAGGGUGAGUCGGCCCCUAAGGUCAGGCUGAGAAGCGUAGCUGAUGGGAAGCUGGUUAAUAUUCCAGCACCGAUUUCAAGUGCGAAGGGGGGACGGAGUCCUGAAGGUCAUCCGGGUGUUGGACAUCCCGGUUUACGAGCGUAGGAGGUUGACAGGCAAAUCCGUCAACGAAUCUCCAAGGCGAAGGAUCGAGGUUGAGAGAUCAACUGAAGUGACUGAAUGGGCUUCCAGGAAAAGCCUCUAAGCAUCAGCUUGGAAUUGACCGUACCGCAAACCGACACUGGUGGGCGAGCUGAAUAUGCUCAGGCGCUUGAGAGAACUCAGGAGAAGGAACUCGGCAAAUUGACACCGUAACUUCGGGAUAAGGUGUGCCUUUGUAGUGUGAAGGGAGAAACACCCCGAGCAUGAAGAGGCCUCAGAGAAUCGGUGGCUGCAACUGUUUACUAAAAACACAGCACUCUGCAAAGAUGAAAGUCGACGUAUAGGGUGUGAUGCCUGCCCGGUGCUGGAAGAUUAAUUGAUGGGGUGCAAGCUCCUGAUCGAAGUCCCAGUAAACGGCGGCCGUAACUAUAACGGUCCUAAGGUAGCGAAAUUCCUUGUCGGGCAAGUUCCGACCUGCACGAAUGGCAUAAUGAUGGCCACACUGUCUCCUCCUGAGACUCAGUGAAGUUGAAAUGUUUGUGAUGAUGCAAUCUCCCCGCGGCUAGACGGAAAGACCCCAUGAACCUUUACUGCAGCUUUGCAUUGGACUUUGAACCGAUCUGUGUAGGAUAGGUGGGAGGCAGUGAAGCUAGGACGCCAGUCUUAGCGGAGCCAACCUUGAAAUACCACCCUGAUUUGUUUGAGGUUCUAACCUAGGAGCGUGAUCCGCUUCGGGGACCGUGCAUGGUAGGCAGUUUGACUGGGGCGGUCUCCUCCUAAAGGGUAACGGAGGAGUGCGAAGGUACGCUAGGUACGGUCGGAAAUCGUGCUGAUAGUGCAAUGGCAAAAGCGUGCUUGACUGCGAGACCGACAAGUCGAGCAGAUACGAAAGUAGGUCAUAGUGAUCCGGUGGCUCUGCAUGGAAGGGCCAUCGCUCAACGGAUAAAAGGUACUCUGGGGAUAACAGGCUGAUACCGCCCAAGAGUUCAUAUCGACGGCGGUGUUUGGCACCUCGAUGUCGGCUCAUCUCAUCCUGGGGCUGUAGCCGGUCCCAAGGGUA
Molecule: ribosomal RNA, 1615 nt
Filed under: human gut metagenome
Description: bacterial LSU rRNA
Rfam family: Bacterial large subunit ribosomal RNA
Source: RNAcentral